Molecule: ribosomal RNA, 114 nt
Filed under: Acanthosepion pharaonis
Lineage: Eukaryota; Metazoa; Mollusca; Cephalopoda; Sepiida; Sepiidae
Source: RNAcentral
UACGGUCAAAUCACACUGAAAACACCGGUUCUCGUUCGAUCACCGAAGUUAAGCAUCGUAGAGCCAGGUCAGUACUUAGAUGGGGGACCGCUUGGGAACACCUGGUACUGUAAG